UCGGCACUGGACGAGGCACAGCGUGUUGGCCUCGUGGUUUUCGAUCAUUGCUGGCUCCUUUUUGAUCACUUUGUGCGUCGUUUCAGUGACCGACA
Molecule: microRNA precursor, 95 nt
Filed under: Mesocestoides corti
Lineage: Eukaryota; Metazoa; Platyhelminthes; Cestoda; Cyclophyllidea; Mesocestoididae
Description: microRNA mco-mir-12066 precursor
Source: miRBase by way of RNAcentral